RNAcentral lists this ribosomal RNA (600 nucleotides) under uncultured Gammaproteobacteria bacterium. RNAcentral's name for it is "bacterial SSU rRNA". It matches the Rfam family "Bacterial small subunit ribosomal RNA", at positions 54 to 645 of the family's 1533-position model. Lineage: Bacteria; Pseudomonadati; Pseudomonadota; Gammaproteobacteria. The record is from RNAcentral.
CAUGCAAGUCGAGCGGAAACGAGAAGUACUUGUACUUCGGCGUCGAGCGGCGGACGGGUGAGUAAUGCUUGGGAAUAUGCCUUAUGGUGGGGGACAACAGUUGGAAACGACUGCUAAUACCGCAUAAUGUCUACGGACCAAAGCGGGGGACCUUCGGGCCUCGUGCCAUUUGAUUAGCCCAAGUGAGAUUAGCUAGUUGGUGGGGUAAUGGCCUACCAAGGCGACGAUCUCUAGCUGGUCUGAGAGGAUGAUCAGCCACACUGGGACUGAGACACGGCCCAGACUCCUACGGGAGGCAGCAGUGGGGAAUAUUGCACAAUGGGCGAAAGCCUGAUGCAGCCAUGCCGCGUGUGUGAAGAAGGCCUUCGGGUUGUAAAGCACUUUCAGUUGUGAGGAAAGGGUGUUGGUUAAUACCUAACAUCUGUGACGUUAGCAACAGAAGAAGCACCGGCUAACUCCGUGCCAGCAGCCGCGGUAAUACGGAGGGUGCGAGCGUUAAUCGGAAUUACUGGGCGUAAAGCGUGCGUAGGCGGUUUGUUAAGCAAGAUGUGAAAGCCCCGGGCUCAACCUGGGAACUGCAUUUUGAACCGGCAGGCUAGA